This 441-nucleotide ribosomal RNA is filed under the name uncultured archaeon. RNAcentral describes it as "bacterial SSU rRNA". It matches the Rfam family "Archaeal small subunit ribosomal RNA", at positions 12 to 458 of the family's 1478-position model. The record is from RNAcentral.
UCCCGCCGGACCUGACUGCUAUCGGAUUGAUACUAAGCCAUGCGAGUCAUUGUAGCAAUACAAGGCAGACGGCUCAGUAACGCGUAGUCAACCUACCCUAUGGACGGGGAUAACCUCGGGAAACUGAGAAUAAUGCCCGAUAGAACAUUAUGCCUGGAAUGGUUUAUGUUCCAAAUGAUUUAUCGCCGUAGGAUGGGACUGCGGCCUAUCAGUUUGUUGGUGAGGUAAUGGCCCACCAAGACUAUUACAGGUACGGGCUCUGAGAGGAGUAGCCCGGAGAUGGGUACUGAGACACGGACCCAGGCCCUAUGGGGCGCAGCAGGCGAGAAAACUUUGCAAUGUGCGAAAGCACGACAAGGUUAAUCCGAGUGGUUUCUGCUAAAGAAACCUUUUGUCAGUCCUAGAAACACUGAUGAAUAAGGGGUGGGCAAGUUCUGGUGU